GGGGGAAUCUUGGACAAUGGGCGCAAGCCUGAUCCAGCCAUGCCGCGUGAGUGAUGAAGGCCCUAGGGUUGUAAAGCUCUUUCACCGGUGAAGAUAAUGACGGUAACCGGAGAAGAAGCCCCGGCUAACUUCGUGCCAGCAGCCGCGGUAAUACGAAGGGGGCUAGCGUUGUUCGGAUUUACUGGGCGUAAAGCGCACGUAGGCGGACUUUUAAGUCAGGGGUGAAAACCCGGGGCUCAAUCCCGGAACUGCCUUUGAUGCUGGAAGUCUUGAGUAUGGUAGAAGUGGGUGGAAUUCCGGGUGUAGAGGUGAAAUUCGUCGAUAUUCGGAGGAAGACCAGUGGCGAAGGCGGCUCGCUGGACCGUUACUGACGCUGAGGUGCGAAAGCGGGGGGAGCAAACAGG
RNAcentral lists this ribosomal RNA (404 nucleotides) under Actinomycetes bacterium. RNAcentral's name for it is "Actinobacteria bacterium partial 16S ribosomal RNA". It matches the Rfam family "Bacterial small subunit ribosomal RNA", at positions 355 to 776 of the family's 1533-position model. The record is from RNAcentral. Lineage: Bacteria; Bacillati; Actinomycetota; Actinomycetes.